AAAUCACUUUGCUUGGAAUUCACAUUGAUGUACGUAAGAAUUCAUCACGAAGUGGUUUCUG
Molecule: microRNA precursor, 61 nt
Filed under: Drosophila melanogaster (fruit fly)
Lineage: Eukaryota; Metazoa; Arthropoda; Insecta; Diptera; Drosophilidae
Description: microRNA dme-mir-9371 precursor
Source: miRBase by way of RNAcentral